AUACGUAGGGUGCGAGCGUUGUCCGGAAUUACUGGGCGUAAAGAGCUCGUAGGUGGUUUGUCGCGUCGUCUGUGAAAUUCCGGGGCUUAACUCCGGGCGUGCAGGCGAUACGGGCAUAACUUGAGUACUGUAGGGGAGACUGGAAUUCCUGGUGUAGCGGUGAAAUGCGCAGAUAUCAGGAGGAACACCGGUGGCGAAGGCAGGUUCCGGGGCUGUAUCUGGCUGUGGUGAGCGAAAUCAUGGGUACCGAAUGUCAUGAUUUACCGGGUGACUCCGGGCCGUAAGCGGUGGGCGCUAGGUGUAGGGGUCUGCCACGAUUUGUGUGCCUUAGCUAACGCAUUAAGGGCCCCGCCUGGGGAGUACGGCCGCAAGGCUAAAGCUCAAAUGAAUUGACGGGG
Molecule: ribosomal RNA, 398 nt
Filed under: uncultured bacterium
Lineage: Bacteria
Description: partial 16S ribosomal RNA
Rfam family: Bacterial small subunit ribosomal RNA
Source: RNAcentral